This 468-nucleotide ribosomal RNA is filed under the name uncultured bacterium. RNAcentral describes it as "partial 16S ribosomal RNA". It matches the Rfam family "Bacterial small subunit ribosomal RNA", at positions 28 to 507 of the family's 1533-position model. The record is from RNAcentral.
GACGAACGCUGGCGGCGUGCUUAACACAUGCAAGUCGAACGGAAAGGCCCUGCUUUUGUGGGGUGCUCGAGUGGCGAACGGGUGAGUAACACGUGAGUAACCUGCCCUUGACUUUGGGAUAACUUCAGGAAACUGGGGCUAAUACCGGGUAGGAGCUCCUGCUGCAUGGGGGGGGUUGGAAAGGUUCGGCGGUUGGGGAUGGACUCGCGGCUUAUCAGCUUGUUGGUGGGGUAGUGGCUUACCAAGGCUUUGACGGGUAGCCGGCCUGAGAGGGUGACCGGCCACAUUGGGACUGAGAUACGGCCCAGACUCCUACGGGAGGCAGCAGUGGGGAAUAUUGCACAAUGGGCGGAAGCCUGAUGCAGCAACGCCGCGUGCGGGAUGACGGCCUUCGGGUUGUAAACCGCUUUCGCCUGUGACGAAGCGUGAGUGACGGUAAUGGGUAAAGAAGCACCGGCUAACUACGUG